RNAcentral lists this ribosomal RNA (307 nucleotides) under uncultured bacterium. RNAcentral's name for it is "partial 16S ribosomal RNA". It matches the Rfam family "Bacterial small subunit ribosomal RNA", at positions 506 to 807 of the family's 1533-position model. The record is from RNAcentral.
AGACAGCAGCAGCCACGGGAACACGAAGGGUGCAAGCGUUACUCGGAGUUACUGGGCGUAAAGCGUGCGUAGGUGGUGGUUUAAGUCCGUUGUGAAAGCCCUGGGCUCAACCUGGGAAUUGCAGUGGAUACUGGGUCACUAGAGUGUGGUAGAGGAUAGUGGAAUUUCCGGUGUAGCAGUGAAAUGCGUAGAGAUCGGAAGGAACAUCUGUGGCGAAGGCGACUAUCUGGGCCAACACUGACACUGAGGCACGAAAGCGUGGGGAGCAAACAGGAUUAGAUACCCCAGUAGUCCCUGUCUCUUAUAC